This 266-nucleotide long non-coding RNA is filed under the name Capsella rubella. RNAcentral's name for it is "long non-coding RNA (CRUB_LNC001608)". The record is from RNAcentral. Lineage: Eukaryota; Viridiplantae; Streptophyta; Magnoliopsida; Brassicales; Brassicaceae.
UGGUCGUUGACGAUUGUCGCUCAUCAAACAAGAAACGAAUAACUUUUUUGUUGCUGUCGUUGGCUACAGGCAAACGAACACGGCCUUAUUGACCUCAAGAUAUACACAUAAUUUUUUUAUUUUUUUUGUCAACAGCAUACACACAUAUAGUUAGUUUAUCAUAUUUUAGAAUAAAUUAAGUUACAGUGCGACGAACGUGGUGGUCUGUCUUGUCUUAAGAUAAGUUGACAUUUAUAAAUAUAGAAUGAGUAAUUGGUGUGUUUACU